Molecule: long non-coding RNA, 953 nt
Organism: Vespa velutina
Lineage: Eukaryota; Metazoa; Arthropoda; Insecta; Hymenoptera; Vespidae
Exons: 3
Source: RefSeq, a predicted model, not a curated record
GAUAAUAAUAAUAAUAAUUAUAAUAAUAAUUAUAAUAAUAUUAAUAUUAAAACAAAUAGAAAGAGAGGUCGAGUAAAUUCAGGGUCACGGAGCUCCUUUUCUCCGGCCCACCGUUUCGAGACUGAAGAGCUCGCUAACUCUCUCUUUGAGACCAGGUGAACGGCGCCGUGAGCUAACCUACCUAAGAGGGAGCCUUCUCCUUCAUCAAGAAAUGAGAGAGACAGAGAGAAAGAGAGAGGACGAGAAAGAAAGAAAGAGAGAGAGAGAGAGAGAAAGGAACAGAGAGAGAUAGAGAGAAAGAAAGAAAGGCAAGGAAAAAAGGAAAGAGCCGUGAACGUAGGCGCGCAUAAAAGGUGGAGGAGACGGUCGGUUAUCCUCGCCUUUUAGCCGAAGAUUACCGAGACGUACUUCGGCUUUCGAUUUCUGACGAUCUUACUCGAAGAAGAAUAUAACUCCAAGAAUAGUCCUCGAGGAUGUGAACGAAACUGUAACCGUGACAUUAUCUAGUGUGACGUGAAUCCCGAUGAUAAUAAAAAAAACUAUCAAUUAAACGAAGGGAAGCAAAGACGUGAAUGUAGCGUUCGUGGCCGAACAACCGUCAGACUCGGUUUCAAUGGCGAUUACUCGCGCACGCUAGAAGAAAUUUGUGUUAUUAACAAGAAGAAGGUAUACUUGGCCUCUUCGAGAGCGUCUUAUUUGACAAAGGAAAGGAAACGUAAGAGAAAGAUAAAGAGAAAGAGAGAGAGAGAAAAAGAGAGAGAGACAGAGAGAGAGAGAGAGAGAAAGAGAAAGACAGAUAGACAGAAAGAAGGAAAGGAUUCUUUAUAUUGCAUAGAAUCUGCACGAUCUCUUAGAAAUCACGAUUUCUUUAAAUUACAGUAUACUUAUUGUUGAUGGUGCUUCAACAUUUAUUAAAAAAAAAAAAAAAAAAAAAAUAAUAAAAAAAGCGAAGA